CGGAGGUGCGAGCGUUGUCCGGAAUCACGUGGGCGUAAAGGGCGCGUAGGUGGUUGGAUGCGCCGGUGGUGAAAGCGCAGGGCUCAACCCUGCGUCGGCCAUCGGGACGGUCCGACUGGAGCACUGUAGAGGCAGGUGGAAUUCCGGGUGUAGCGGUGGAAUGCGUAGAGAUCCGGAGAACACCGGUGGCGAAGGCGGCCUGCUGGGCAGUUGCUGACACUGAGGCGCGACAGCGUGGGGAGCAAACAGGAUU
This 253-nucleotide ribosomal RNA is filed under the name uncultured bacterium. RNAcentral's name for it is "partial 16S ribosomal RNA". It matches the Rfam family "Bacterial small subunit ribosomal RNA", at positions 527 to 779 of the family's 1533-position model. The record is from RNAcentral.